Long non-coding RNA from Phyllopteryx taeniolatus (common seadragon), 2007 nucleotides. RefSeq lists it as uncharacterized. Lineage: Eukaryota; Metazoa; Chordata; Actinopteri; Syngnathiformes; Syngnathidae. The transcript has 2 exons. The record is from RefSeq and is a predicted model, not a curated record.
ACUGUCGUGUGGUAUAAAUUAAACCGCGUGUUUAUUAUUGUGGUCUGCAGCGGUGCAAGCAUUGUUACCAUACGAAUAGACGCAACAUUAAGUAGUGUGCUUUGCACGUGCGUAAAGCAUCACAUAUGUCAAACUCGUUUCGUGGUGGGACACAUUGUGGUUUCUCUCAUUGUGGUGACGACUGUAAAAAAAACAAUUUUUAAUCUUAUUAAAUGUAUAAAUCACCCCAUCAUGAUAUAUGCCUGCACAAUUUCCCCUGCGUUGAUUGCUGUUAUAAAGAAUUUAACAACACCAACUGAGAUAGAAAAAAAAGACAUUGUAAUAGCUUUUGAAGGUUUUCAUUAUGGUACAGUUUUUUACGAAAUGAAAACAAAUCUAUUUAGCAAGAAACAUGAAGUUGACAAUCUCUUUGCUUUAGUGAUAUUAUAAAACUAUAUGCCUUUGCACUUCAAAUGUAUUAUAUGUUCAUUAUAAUCUUGUUUUAGUGCGAGUAUAAGAAUGCAGACUGUGGUCCUCUCUCUCUCUCUGUUAGUUGUAUCACUUUCUGAGAGAAAAAGCAAUAUGUCUGCAGUUGAGCGGCAUUAGUUGCAUAAGGCAGAUGAUAACUGCUUGUUCAUUUGUGGAUAUAAGACCUCGCCUAAGGAGAAAUAGGCAGACACUUUUUAGAAAGUAGCCAUGCAUGCAAGGUUUUAUUACAUUAUAUCUGUCAUUAGUCUCAAAGUGCUUGUCCUGUCUUUUGUUUACUAAAAGUUAAAAAAAUUUCCCUGGGCCACAUAAAAUGAAGCAGAGGGCCAAAUGUGGCCCCCGGGCCUCGAGUUUGACACCUGUGUUUUUUUGGAACGUGAGAGCGAAGCAAUAUAAUCGUAAGAUGUCUCACUUUUCUGUAAUGUAGUUCUGCGCGUUAACCACAACCACAAUAAUGAAUAACGGUCCGCCAGUGUCAAUCAGAACAUUUUGUCCUAGGAAAGGAAAAACUAUUCUGUGUAGGUCUCGCUCAUGUUCAUGUGCAUACGUGAUGUCAACGUAUUCCUCACUUAUACACUCGCUAAAAGUCUCUCAGAGCAAACACGAGUCUUUGUGUGAACCACAAAGCACGAAAAUACAACUGUGGAAAAGUAGGCCAGUGUCUGGCCUAAGGAAUCCCUGCUCCCUCCACAGUAGCACAUGCCCAAGGCACAUUUCUCAUUGUGUGUGCACAGCUUCACAGAUAAGCCUGCCUCUUCUCGCAGCCUGACUUCAUCAAGCAAGCCGCAGUUCUAGUUUUCGUGGCAGGCGGCCAACGGCACGUAGUAAAUUUUACUACCUGUCGAGCCGAACACGCAGCAGAGGGACUGUAGAAUGACAUAACCUCCGCUGAGAUAGCGGAGAGAACAACGCGAGGACUGCCUGGAUGGAGGAAUAGCUUGUGAAUUUAUAAAAGGGGACAGUAUCUCAGAGUCGUACAGAGCGAUUCGGAUCGUAGGUUUAGGGGUGCUUCAGCACCCCCAAACAAAAUGGACGAGAAGUGCCCGUGCCAGUCGAUGGAAUCCUAUCAUGAAGAUAACACGAUCUGGAGCGGAUGAGAUUUUGUCUCACCUUUCGUCACCACACGUGAACUUUUCCGUGACCCGGGCUGAAGAGAUUCAAGUGCAGACUUAUUUGGGGUUUGUAAAGGCAGCUAUUUAGCAUUUGGCUUCCAUUUGGACACUGAGCUCAGUGAACACGACUGUACAUCUUUCGGGGGCGGGGGGGGGGGGAUUUUUUCGAGUCGUUUACAGCAAGCGAAGCUUCUUAUCGUGUCAGCGAGGAUGAGUUCAAAGACCCCUUGGACGAUGGCCAGAACAAGGAGCAUAUCUUUGCACAAUGUUGACAUGCAGCUCUUAACAGGCAUCGAAAGUCAAGAUAAUUCUCUCUGCGACCACUCCGGCCCAACAUCAAGGAUAAUGUUGAGGAAUGCAACGCAUUAAAAGUCACUUUCUGCUGUUGAUUGGAGCAAAUAUUCUCCAAAUAAAAUUGGAUUGGAACUCA